Molecule: long non-coding RNA, 2079 nt
Organism: Magnolia sinica
Lineage: Eukaryota; Viridiplantae; Streptophyta; Magnoliopsida; Magnoliales; Magnoliaceae
Exons: 2
Source: RefSeq, a predicted model, not a curated record
CAGGUAAUGAACUGAAUUUUUUGAUGAUUUGCAAAAAAAAUUAACCCAACAAAAGAACCAAACAAAGCCUGCAAGGCUACUAGUUACAGACCCCAAAACAUGCAACAACAUUAACCUAGAUUAUGGGAAAAUUACAUCAGUUCCCAAUCCAAUUAUCAGCAACUAUUAAACAGUCCUUACUAACACGUUUCUUAGCUAUGUUUUCUGCUCUAGAGUUGGUUGACUGGUAAACAUGAUGGGAGAAACCAAAAGGAACAUGUUUAACUCAAUGGCCUCUUCUAAUGUAUUGAAUAAUCUUCAUGGAUGCUCACUAUCUCUAAGCCACUUAUUAGAGCUGCUGGAGUCACCAUCUAUAACAAUAGGACUGAAAUUAUGAGUUACUUCCAAUUUCACACUUUGGAGAAGGGUCACAGCCUUUUCGCAACUCAAAUACCUCACGUCAAUGGCGCUUGAAAAUUCCAUCACAACCACCCCGACAUUGUUAUGAACCAUGCCUCCUAUGGUAGCUUGGCCUUGGUUGCUGAUUGAACUUCCGUUGAAGUUAAAACUUAAAAUUGCCAAGGGGUCUCUAUUGUGCUAUGGCUUUAGGAGGCCCCCUGCAUCAGCAAAUCAGCUCUUCUCAUUUUUUUGGAAGCUGAAUCUGAGUAACACUCGAACUCAGUCUUACGAGCCUACUCAGCCAUAGGGUCAAAUUUUUUCUAUGAGAUCACUUCCACACAGCUCACUUUUCCUGCUCUUUUCUCUCCAACUAGAUGUGCUGCUGUGCUGCCUUGAUUGUAAUCUUCCCAAGCAUAUUUCUGAACAAGCUUCACAGAGUGCACCCCCAACUUGAAAUGAAAUUGCCUACUGCCUGAAGAAUGACUCGAGAGAUCCUGAAUCUGGAGAAAAUUCCCAACGAUAUCUUCCAGGGGAAAUAACAAUGGAGAAACACGUGGGUAACGGUCUCCUCUGCUUCGCAACACACGCUUCAUCUGUUCAGUGUUUCCAUUCCUCUUGCAUACAAGUGAUUAACUGUCAAAACUCUAUCAAGACAACAAUUCAACCAAAAGUGUUAACCUUUGCCAGAAUAAUGCAAGACCAGACCAUUUGAAUCCAAUAGCAAGGGGUGCUUGGAGGCAUUAGUGGCAGAUAUCUUGAAUGGAGCGAAUUGAAAAAACCCCCAUUCAGCAUCCAAAACCCAAAUUCUAUGAUCAUGACUUUUUAGAAAAUGAUAUACCUCAUUCAGUAUUUACAUCAGUUGAGAUAAUUGGUGGAUUUCCUUGUCUUUAAGGCUAUGCUCUGAAUCUCGGAGCCCACACUACCCUCCCAGCCAGUUGAAAGAAGCAUUCAACAGCUCUCCCUUUGUCUGGGUAUAGUGUAUGAAGAUUCAAAAUAAAGAAACAGAGGUUCCUCUGAGCACCAAAGGUCUUCCCAGAAUCUCACCUUGGACCUGACCCCGAUUCUGAAUCUAGUGUGCUUUGAGAGCAGAAAACAGAAGAGAUCCCUCUCCAUUCACAGAGACUUCUCACCCUGUGACUGCAUUAAUAUUCCAGCCUUUAGCUGAGACUCUGUAUUUAACUACUUUCUAAAUGCUUUCCAGGAUAGGAAUUUUGCCAUUUCCAAUGCACCACCACCCUUUUGCCGAUAUAGGUUCCUUAACCACCUGAAUUGGUUUUAAUGCCUAGAAGCUAGAACUCCUGCCUUAAAGGGCUUGCAGACAACAUUCCGGGGCACUAGAUGAAAUUCGAAGUUGCCCUUUUCUUGUGAUUCCUGAGAAAUCUCUUCUGAAUGGACUUCAGUGCACCCUCAGCUUGACACGAAAUUGCCCACUGCCUUAGGAAUGACUCAAUAGAUCCCAAAUCUGGAGAAAAUUCUCGACCAUAUCUUCCAGACGAGACAGCAAUGAGAAACAAGACUUUUAAACAGAGAGUAGAAGUGUAUUGGAAUGUUUGCAAGAACCACAUUUAGGUUUUUUUUUUGGGGGAAUCCGAUUGUAGAACUUCAACCAAUCUACCAUUCAAAAGAAAACCCCAAAUCGCUCAUGAUGAUGACAACGAUGAGGAUGAGAAGGGCUAAAACUAUGGCGAUGCCGACGAUGAU